RNAcentral lists this ribosomal RNA (196 nucleotides) under uncultured Glomeromycotina. RNAcentral describes it as "partial small subunit ribosomal RNA". It matches the Rfam family "Eukaryotic small subunit ribosomal RNA", at positions 569 to 764 of the family's 1831-position model. Lineage: Eukaryota; Fungi; Glomeromycota. The record is from RNAcentral.
AGCAGCCGCGGUAAUUCCAGCUCCAAUAGCGUAUAUUAAAGUUGUUGCAGUUAAAAAGCCGUAGUUGAAUUUCGGGAUUGACACAUCGGUCGUGCCUUAAGGGGUAUGAACUGGCGUACCAAUUCCUCACCUUCUGGUGAAUUGUGAUGCCUCUUUAACUGGGUGUUUCAAUGAACUGGACUUUUACUUUGAAAAA